GACGCGCAGCAGCAAAUAUGAUAUUCGAACCCCCACUUCCCAAUAUGGCUACCACACUCGGCUCCAUCAAUGUCGUCUUCCCGUAGCUAGUGCUUUUUACAUUCUCAGUUUGGGACUCUCAAAUCUCUACCACACUCGGCUCCAUCUCUACUUGGCCCUUUCUCUCUUCCUCCAUGCUACGACGUCAUCUUCUCACAGCCUGUGCAUUUUGCAUUCUCAGUUUGGGACUCUCAAAUCUUUAUACACCGUUAUAUUCCUUUGCCCUCAAAAUGGGGUGCGUUCAAUCUCUUUUUUGGUACUCGCUACACCAUCCACAUAACUCACUUUUUAUAAAUUUCUCUCGAUUCAAUUCAAUUCAAUUGUCUCUGUUUCAAAUCCAAAUUGGGUGUCUACACCAAGUCUGCCAUCAGAAUGCAAGCAGGUAAGAACUUGGCUGAAAGCAUUGUCUAAGAGAAGCUUGCAGCUUGUGUCAACAGGGUACCAGUGAAAGGAAGUUUGGAUCAUACGUGACUUUAAAUAAAUAAAUGUGUCCAAUAAUUUCAUCCAAGGU
This is a long non-coding RNA of Cajanus cajan (pigeon pea), 550 nucleotides long. RefSeq lists it as uncharacterized. NCBI's taxonomy places the organism in Eukaryota, Viridiplantae, Streptophyta, Magnoliopsida, Fabales, Fabaceae. The record is from RefSeq and is a predicted model, not a curated record.